Molecule: ribosomal RNA, 253 nt
Filed under: uncultured bacterium
Lineage: Bacteria
Description: partial 16S ribosomal RNA
Rfam family: Bacterial small subunit ribosomal RNA
Source: RNAcentral
UACGUAGGUGGCAAGCGCUACUCGGAAUCACUAGGCGUAAAGCGCAGGUAGGCGGUUUGGUAAGUCUUUUGUGAAAGCUCCCGGCUUAACUGGGAGAGGUCAAGGGAAACUACCGGACUAGAGUGUGGUAGGGGAUACUGGAAUUCCUGGUGUAGCGGUGAAAUGCGUAGAUAUCAGGAGGAAUACCUAUGGCGAAAGCAGGUAUCUGGGCCAUCACUGACGCUGAGCUGCGAAAGCUAGGGGAGCAAACAGG